RNAcentral lists this ribosomal RNA (419 nucleotides) under bacterium. Its description in RNAcentral is "partial 16S ribosomal RNA". It matches the Rfam family "Bacterial small subunit ribosomal RNA", at positions 355 to 776 of the family's 1533-position model. The record is from RNAcentral.
UGGGGGAUAUUGCACAAUGGGCGAAAGCCUGAUGCAGCGACGCCGCGUGGGGGAUGAAGGCCUUCGGGUUGUAAACUUCUUUUGCUCUGAACAAGGCAUGCUAAUGGGUGUGUUGAGUGUAGGGGUUGAUUAGCGCCGGCUAACUACGUGCCAGCAGCCGCGGUAAUACGUAGGGCGCGAGCGUUGUCCGGAAUUAUUGGGCGUAAAGGGCUUGUAGGUGGCUGGUUGCGUCUGUCGUGAAAGCUCAUGGCUUAACUGUGGGUUUGCGGUGGGUACGGGCUGGCUUGAGUGCAGGAGGGGAGGGUGGAAUGCCUGGUGUAGCGGUGGAAUGCGCAGAGAUCAGGAGGAGUGCCGGUGGCGAAGGCGGGUCUCUGGGCUGUUACUGACACUGAGGAGCGAAAGCAUGGGGAGCGAACAGG